This 460-nucleotide ribosomal RNA is filed under the name uncultured bacterium. Its description in RNAcentral is "partial 16S ribosomal RNA". It matches the Rfam family "Bacterial small subunit ribosomal RNA", at positions 338 to 795 of the family's 1533-position model. The record is from RNAcentral.
CCUACGGGAGGCAGCAGUGAGGAAUAUUUGUCAAUGGGCGCUAGCCUGAACCAGCCAAGUAGCGUGAAGGAUGACUGCCCUAUGGGUUGUAAACUUCUUUUAUAUGGGAAUAAAGUGCAGUAUGUAUACUGCUUUGCAUGUACCUUAUUAAUAAGGAUCGGCUAACUCCGUGCCAGCAGCCGCGGUAAUCCGGAGGAUCCGAGCGUUCUCCGGAUUUAUUGGGUUUAAAGGGAGCGUAGGCGGGUUGUUAAGUCAGUUUUGAACGUCUGCGGAGCAACCGUAAGAGUGCAGUUGGUACUGGAAGACUUGAGUACAGUAGAGGUAGGCGGAAUUCGUGGUGUAGCGGUGAAAUGCUUAGAUAGCACGAAGAACUCCGAUUGCGAAGGCAGCCUGCUGGACUGUAACUGACGCUGAUGCUCGAAAGUGUGGGUAUCAAACAGGAUUAGAUACCCGUGUAGUC